Molecule: ribosomal RNA, 512 nt
Filed under: uncultured diatom
Lineage: Eukaryota; Bacillariophyta
Description: SSU rRNA
Rfam family: Eukaryotic small subunit ribosomal RNA
Source: RNAcentral
CUGACACAGGGAGGUAGUGACAAUAAAUAACAAUGCCGGGCCUUUACAGGUCUGGCAAUUGGAAUGAGAACAAUUUAAAUCCCUUAUCGAGUAUCAAUUGGAGGGCAAGUCUGGUGCCAGCAGCCGCGGUAAUUCCAGCUCCAAUAGCGUAUAUUAAAGUUGUUGCAGUUAAAAAGCUCGUAGUUGGAUUUCUGGCAGGGGUGAGCGGCCACACACUAUGUGUGUGAGCUUGCUUACUCCGCCAUCCUUGAGGAGAUCCUAUUUGGCAUUAAGUUGUCGGGUAGGGGAUACUCAUCGUUUACUGUGAAAAAAUUGAGUGUUUAAAGCAGGCUUAUGCCGUUGAAUAUAUUAGCAUGGAAUAAUAAGAUAGGACUUUGAGUCUAUUUUGUUGGUUUGCGAGUCAAAGUAAUGAUUAAUAGGGACAGUUGGGGGUAUUCGUAUUUCAUUGUCAGAGGUGAAAUUCUUGGAUUUCUGAAAGACGAACUACUGCGAAAGCAUUUACCAAGGAUGUU